RNAcentral lists this ribosomal RNA (445 nucleotides) under uncultured bacterium. Its description in RNAcentral is "partial 16S ribosomal RNA". It matches the Rfam family "Bacterial small subunit ribosomal RNA", at positions 354 to 796 of the family's 1533-position model. The record is from RNAcentral.
GUGAGGAAUAUUGGUCAAUGGGCGAGAGCCUGAACCAGCCAAGUCGCGUGAAGGAAGUAGGAUCUAUGGUUCGUAAACUUCUUUUGCAGGGGAAUAAAGUGCAGGACGUGUCCUGUUUUGUAUGUACCCUGAGAAUAAGGAUCGGCUAACUCCGUGCCAGCAGCCGCGGUAAUACGGAGGAUCCGAGCGUUAUCCGGAUUUAUUGGGUUUAAAGGGUGCGUAGGUGGUUUGAUAAGUCAGCGGUGAAAGUUUGCAGCUUAACUGUAAAAAUGCCGUUGAAACUGUCGGACUUGAGUGUAAAUGAGGUAGGCGGAAUGCGUGGUGUAGCGGUGAAAUGCAUAGAUAUCACGCAGAACUCCGAUUGCGAAGGCAGCUUACUAAGCUACAACUGACACUGAAGCACGAAAGCGUGGGGAUCAAACAGGAUUAGAAACCCUAGUAGUCC